UCAGGCCCCGCCUCCCCGCUCAGCCCCGCCUCCCCACACCGCGCAAACUUCCAGGAGCUCAACGAGAGAGCUCGUGUGAUGCAUAAAUGUCUCCCGGUGAUAGAGGAGGAUGAGGAGGAAACUCCUGUCACUGAGUCGGCUUCAGAUGAUGAUGAUGAUGAUGAUGAUGAUGAUGGGGGGGGGAUGAACCCUUCUCCUUCUCAGUUUUGU
Cyprinus carpio (common carp) is the source of this 210-nucleotide long non-coding RNA. RefSeq lists it as uncharacterized. Lineage: Eukaryota; Metazoa; Chordata; Actinopteri; Cypriniformes; Cyprinidae. The record is from RefSeq and is a predicted model, not a curated record. The transcript has 3 exons.